RNAcentral lists this ribosomal RNA (699 nucleotides) under Ralstonia solanacearum. RNAcentral's name for it is "bacterial SSU rRNA". It matches the Rfam family "Bacterial small subunit ribosomal RNA", at positions 98 to 791 of the family's 1533-position model. Lineage: Bacteria; Pseudomonadati; Pseudomonadota; Betaproteobacteria; Burkholderiales; Burkholderiaceae. The record is from RNAcentral.
GCGGAUCGGUGAGUAAUACCUAGGAAUCUGCCUGGUAGUGGGGGACAACGUUUCGAAAGGAACGCUAAUACCGCAUACGUCCUACGGGAGAAAGCAGGGGACCUUCGGGCCUUGCGCUAUCAGAUGAGCCUAGGUCGGAUUAGCUAGUUGGUGAGGUAAUGGCUCACCAAGGCUACGAUCCGUAACUGGUCUGAGAGGAUGAUCAGUCACACUGGAACUGAGACACGGUCCAGACUCCUACGGGAGGCAGCAGUGGGGAAUAUUGGACAAUGGGCGAAAGCCUGAUCCAGCCAUGCCGCGUGUGUGAAGAAGGUCUUCGGAUUGUAAAGCACUUUAAGUUGGGAGGAAGGGCAGUAAGCGAAUACCUUGCUGUUUUGACGUUACCGACAGAAUAAGCACCGGCUAACUCUGUGCCAGCAGCCGCGGUAAUACAGAGGGUGCAAGCGUUAAUCGGAAUUACUGGGCGUAAAGCGCGCGUAGGUGGUUCGUUAAGUUGGAUGUGAAAUCCCCGGGCUCAACCUGGGAACUGCAUCCAAAACUGGCGAGCUAGAGUAGGGCAGAGGGUGGUGGAAUUUCCUGUGUAGCGGUGAAUGCGUAGAUAUAGGAAGGGAACACCAGUGGGCGAAGCGACCACCUGGGGCUCAUACUGACACUGAGGUGCGAAAGCGUGGGGAGCAAACAGGAUUAGAUACCCCUGGU